GUGUUUCUCGAAUCGUUGGAUGGUUUGGACUCCUAGAGAUGUAUUUCAAUCGCUGGGAGUGUCGAAAAAUAUUUUAUCUCUUUCGAAUAAUCUCCAGGAAGAACUCCGUUGAUUGCUCCUUGCAAGAACUUGAUAAUCGAUGCCGAUGUUGCCAAUGCUUGUCAAAGUCCUCUUUCAGAAUGUCCAUAGAAUGUUAUGUUACCCUUAUUUAUAGUUGUAGGGAGUAGGCCUGGUUGCUUGUGAUUGCCCGAAAUAUGUCACUUUGAUACUUGGCGACUUUUGACUGAUCAUUGAAUUUGAAUGAGAUUUCCACAUCAUUUGUACAUGUGGCGUCGUCUCGUUGCUCUUGGAUUUGAUGGGGACGCCAAGUCACGCUGACACGUGGCAUGAGUCUGGGCUCCAAAGUGUAAUGGACCCUGGUCUUGAAUUUAAUAAAAUGGACUAUUUAAUUUGUAGGGCCCAAAUUAAUUAAUCAACCCAAAUGAUCAUGAAUUAAAUAUAAAUUUUGUAUGAGUUUAGCCCAUUGAAUUUUUAUAUGUCUACAAAUACCCUUUACUUUGAGACUUGUCGAUGUGUAGGCUUGGCGAAACUUGACGACGAGACUUGAAAUACUCAUGAAUGUGUUUUUAUUUUUGUGACUUCAAAGGUAUUUGUUUCUCAUCGGUGCA
This 668-nucleotide long non-coding RNA is filed under the name Capsicum annuum. RNAcentral's name for it is "long non-coding RNA (CANN_LNC007162)". Lineage: Eukaryota; Viridiplantae; Streptophyta; Magnoliopsida; Solanales; Solanaceae. The record is from RNAcentral.